AUACCAAAAAAUUAAGUCAUACCACUCCGGUAAAAAGACAGUUAGACAUGUUAAAUAGUCUAUAAAAUAUUGAUAUAAAGGUAAAAUUUGUAUAUCAGUUAGUAAUUUAAUAAUGACCUUAAAUGUUGAAUCUGUGACAGCUUUGAGGGAAACUGGGAUUGGAUACCCCACUAUUCUUAGCUGUAAACUUGAUUAGCUUGAUUUACCAGAGCACUACGAACUAAAAAUUUAAAACUCAAAGGGCUUGGCGGUGUUUUAGACCAUUCAGGGGAACCUGUCUCAUAAUCGACAAUCCACGUUAAACCUGACCUUUUUUCGUAAUCAGCCCGUAUACCGUCGUCGUCAGGUAACUUCUAAAAAUUUAAAAGUUAGCUAGAAAACUACUAAUAAGUUAAAACGUCAGAUCAGGGUGCAGCCUAUAAAAAGGGGAGGAUGGGUUACAAUUAAAUAUUCUUAACUACGGAAAGUUACUCAGAAAGAUAACUUGAAGGAGGACUUGAAAGUAAUUUUUUUUACAUAAAUUAUAUGAAUUAGGCUCUGAAACGUG
Molecule: ribosomal RNA, 547 nt
Filed under: Californiconus californicus
Lineage: Eukaryota; Metazoa; Mollusca; Gastropoda; Neogastropoda; Conidae
Description: partial 12S ribosomal RNA
Source: RNAcentral